GCUUGAUCCUCACAAAAUUAUCAUUGUUACUACAUAAUAGAACUGCAAUAAGCUCUUUUAUCAAACAUUAUGGAGACUGAAUUACUAACCACCUUCAAAAACAAUGUGUCUGCUUUAUAUCCUUUUGCCACCCGUUGAGAUUUUCCACGAAAGAUUAUUGCAUUGAAUUAGCGUAUCCUUUCAGAUCCUUUUACCGUUAAUUCCAUCAAACCAAUUUGAAUUUGGAGUAUGUAAGGUACACCUUUAUAAACCAAGUAGGAGCUGACUGAAGAACUUUU
Molecule: long non-coding RNA, 278 nt
Filed under: Solanum tuberosum (potato)
Lineage: Eukaryota; Viridiplantae; Streptophyta; Magnoliopsida; Solanales; Solanaceae
Description: long non-coding RNA (STUB_LNC001026)
Source: RNAcentral